GACGAACGCUGGCGGCGUGCUUAACACAUGCAAGUCGAGCGAGGCCCAUCCUUCGGGGUGGUGCCCUAGCGGCGAACGGGUGAGUAACACGUGGGCAACCUGCCCUCAGCUCUGGGAUAACUCCAAGAAAUUGGUGCUAAUACCGGAUGUGACCGCUGACCGCAUGGUCUGGUGGUGGAAAGAUUCAUCGGCUGAGGAUGGGCCCGCGGCCUAUCAGCUUGUUGGUGGGGUAAUGGCCCACCAAGGCGACGACGGGUAGCCGGCCUGAGAGGGUGACCGGCCACACUGGGACUGAGACACGGCCCAGACUCCUACGGGAGGCAGCAGUGGGGAAUAUUGCACAAUGGGCGAAAGCCUGACGCAGCGACGCCGCGUGAGGGAUGACGGCCUUCGGGUUGUAAACCUCUUUCAGUAGGGACGAAGCGAGAGUGACGGUACCUACAGAAGAAGCACCGGCCAACUACGUGCCAGCAGCCGCGGUAAUACGUAGGGUGCAAGCGUUGUCCGGAAUUAUUGGGCGUAAAGAGCUCGUAGGCGGUCUGUUCGWGUCGGUCUGKGAAAACCCGAGGYUCAACCUCGGGCCUGCAGUCGAUACGGGCAAACUAGAGUACUGCAGGGGAGACUGGAAUUCCUGGUGUAGCGGUGAAAUGCGCAGAUSUCAGGAGGAACACCGGUGGCGAAGGCGGGUCUCUGGGCAGUAACUGACGCUGAGGAGCGAAAGCGUGGGGAGCGAACAGGAUUAGAUACCCUGGUAGUCCACGCCGUAAACGUUGGGCGCUAGGUGUGGGGGCCAUUCCACGGUCUCCGUGCCGCAGCUAACGCAUUAAGCGCCCCGCCUGGGGAGUACGGCCGCAAGGCUAAAACUCAAAGGAAUUGACGGGGGCCCGCACAAGCGGCGGAGCAUGUUGCUUAAUUCGAUGCAACGCGAAGAACCUUACCUAGGCUUGACAUGWACGGAAAUCUCGUAGAGAUACGGGGUGCCUUUGGCGUCGUGCACAGGUGGUGCAUGGUUGUCGUCAGCUCGUGUCGUGAGAUGUUGGGUUAAGUCCCGCAACGAGCGCAACCCUCGUUCUAUGUUGCCAGCACGUGAUGGUGGGGACUCAUAGGAGACUGCCGGGGUCAACUCGGAGGAAGGUGGGGAUGACGUCAAAUCAUCAUGCCCCUUAUGUCUAGGGCUGCAAACAUGCUACAAUGGCCGGUACAAAGGGCUGCGGUACCGCGAGGUGGAGCGAAUCCCAAAAAGCCGGUCUCAGUUCGGAUUGGGGUCUGCAACUCGACCCCAUGAAGUUGGAGUCGCUAGUAAUCGCAGAUCAGCAACGCUGCGGUGAAUACGUUCCCGGGCCUUGUACACACCGCCCGUCACGUCACGAAAGUCGGUAACGCCCGAAGCCGGUGGCCCAACCCUUGUGGAGGGAGCCGUCGAAGGCGGGAUCGGCGAUUGGGACG
RNAcentral lists this ribosomal RNA (1446 nucleotides) under Modestobacter sp. Its description in RNAcentral is "bacterial SSU rRNA". It matches the Rfam family "Bacterial small subunit ribosomal RNA". Lineage: Bacteria; Bacillati; Actinomycetota; Actinomycetes; Geodermatophilales; Geodermatophilaceae. The record is from RNAcentral.